AUACGGAGGGUGCAAGCGUUAAUCGGAAUUACUGGGCGUAAAGCGUGCGCAGGCGGUUUUGUAAGACAGGCGUGAAAUCCCCGGGCUCAACCUGGGAAUGGCGCUUGUGACUGCAAGGCUAGAGUGCGUCAGAGGGGGGUAGAAUUCCACGUGUAGCAGUGAAAUGCGUAGAGAUGUGGAGGAAUACCGAUGGCGAAGGCAGCCCCCUGGGACGAGACUGACGCUCAUGCACGAAAGCGUGGGGAGCAAACAGGAUUAGAAACCCCUGUAGUCC
RNAcentral lists this ribosomal RNA (274 nucleotides) under uncultured bacterium. RNAcentral's name for it is "partial 16S ribosomal RNA". It matches the Rfam family "Bacterial small subunit ribosomal RNA", at positions 523 to 796 of the family's 1533-position model. The record is from RNAcentral.